Molecule: ribosomal RNA, 464 nt
Filed under: uncultured archaeon
Lineage: Archaea
Description: bacterial SSU rRNA
Rfam family: Archaeal small subunit ribosomal RNA
Source: RNAcentral
UCCCGUUGAUCCUGCCAGACCCGACUGCUAUCAGAGUGGGACUAAGCCAUGCGAGUCAACGCCGUAAGGCGUGGCAUACGGCUCAGUAACACGUAGUCAACAUGCCCAAGGGACGUGGAUAACCUCGGGAAACUGAGGAUAAACCGCGAUAGGCCAAGAUUUCUGGAAUGGAUCAUGGCCGAAAUCUAUAUGGCCCUUGGAUUGGACUGCGGCCGAUCAGGCUGUUGGUGAGGUAAUGGCCCACCAAACCUAUAACCGGUACGGGCUUUGAGAGAAGGAGCCCGGAGAUGGGCACUGAGACAAGGGCCCAGGCCCUAUGGGGCGCAGCAGGCGCGAAAACUCUGCAAUAGGCGAAAGCUUGACAGGGUUACUCUGAGUGAUGCCCGCUAAGGGCAUCUUUUGGUACCUCUAAAAAUGGUGCAGAAUAAGGGGUGGGCAAGUCUGGUGCCAGCAGCCGCGGUAAU